This 241-nucleotide long non-coding RNA is filed under the name Drosophila guanche. The record is from RNAcentral. Lineage: Eukaryota; Metazoa; Arthropoda; Insecta; Diptera; Drosophilidae.
GUCAUGUAUUGCAUUUGCUUGCGCCAGUCGGUUAGCGGCCUUGCCUUGAGAUCAUCCAGCGUCAUGCCAUAGAGCCCAAUGCAGGCAAACAUCCACGCAGAGAGAAGGGAGAGCACACAUCCAACCACACGAAUGGGCAGCAACAAAACCGUCAACAUAUACACCUUGGCCACCUCAAUGUGACUGUCGAUUUCGACGCGGUGCACGAAGGGAUUAAUAUAGUUGUAUCCCUUGGAUGCCC